This 748-nucleotide long non-coding RNA is filed under the name Homo sapiens (human). Its description in RNAcentral is "HSALNT0401979". Lineage: Eukaryota; Metazoa; Chordata; Mammalia; Primates; Hominidae. The record is from RNAcentral.
AUCUCUGUCGGUGAGAAAAUGUGUGUGGAUGCUGACUUCUAGAAGACUCCAAAGCGCUUGUCUUCCCCACUCCCCAUUUCCAAAGGCUGAGACUCCUCUGCACUCCGAGUUUCCUCCCACGCUUCGUCUGAAGAGUGGGUUUUGGGGAGUGAAGGAUAGAAAAUAUCUGAAGACUCUUCCCUAUGACUUAAGACAUGAAUUUUCUUCUCAAGUCUUGAACUAAAGUCAGAAAGUGUUUGCAAGAAAUGUUCUUCUAGGUCCCACAUCCACGGGACCAGAUGAUGCCUGGCUCAAUGCAUUCCUAUCUGAAGUGGGGCAGAGAGGCUGGCAGCCUUCUUUACUAACCAGGCCUGGGAUGAGGUCAGGGGACACUGCUCCGUCACAAGGAAAUGCCCAGCUCAGUCCUCUGGAUGACCUCCCACAUCCCAGGAACAACGAAGGUCAUGUUAUCCAGAUCCCUCACAGGGUCCAAGUGCACCCCCUCUGGCUUUGCAGCUCCUCCCUCCCUCUGCUCUACAGACCAGCGACCCAUCCUGGUGAGGUCACCGAGUUGUCCUGUGUGGAGUCCGGCUCUUGUUUCCAAUGGGGAAAACAGCUUUCCUCAGAAAGUUCUACUCCCUCUGGGGAAAACGACUGAGAGGCUCUUGGCAGGGCUAUUCCCAGUUUCCUCACUAAUUACUCUGGGAUAUUCCCUCCUGAAUGAAGAAACUUCUAUAAUUUGGGUUAUAAAAGAUCUCUUUGAAUUUUC